CCAAAGGCCCUCUUUAGGGCCACUAAUAUACAUGUGUACGUUGAUU
Molecule: non-coding RNA, 46 nt
Organism: Strongyloides papillosus
Lineage: Eukaryota; Metazoa; Nematoda; Chromadorea; Rhabditida; Strongyloididae
Source: Rfam